AGUGAACGCUGGCGGUAGGCCUAACACAUGCAAGUCGAACGGCAGCACAGUAAGAGCUUGCUCUUACGGGUGGCGAGUGGCGGACGGGUGAGGAAUACAUCGGAAUCUACUUUUUCGUGGGGGAUAACGUAGGGAAACUUACGCUAAUACCGCAUACGACCUACGGGUGAAAGCAGGGGAUCUUCGGACCUUGCGCUAUUGAAUGAGCCGAUGUCGGAUUAGCUAGUUGGCGGGGUAAAGGCCCACCAAGGCGACGAUCCGUAGCUGGUCUGAGAGGAUGAUCAGCCACACUGGAACUGAGACACGGUCCAGACUCCUACGGGAGGCAGCAGUGGGGAAUAUUGGACAAUGGGCGCAAGCCUGAUCCAGCCAUACCGCGUGGGUGAAGAAGGCCUUCGGGUUGUAAAGCCCUUUUGUUGGGAAAGAAAAGCAGCAGGUUAAUACCCUGCUGUUCUGACGGUACCCAAAGAAUAAGCACCGGCUAACUUCGUG
This 492-nucleotide ribosomal RNA is filed under the name uncultured bacterium. Its description in RNAcentral is "partial 16S ribosomal RNA". It matches the Rfam family "Bacterial small subunit ribosomal RNA", at positions 29 to 507 of the family's 1533-position model. The record is from RNAcentral.